Molecule: ribosomal RNA, 449 nt
Filed under: uncultured bacterium
Lineage: Bacteria
Description: partial 16S ribosomal RNA
Rfam family: Bacterial small subunit ribosomal RNA
Source: RNAcentral
UUCCAGACUCCUACGGGAGGCAGCAGUGGGGGAUAUUGCACAAUGGGGGGAACCCUGAUGCAGCGACGCCGCGUGGGUGAAGGAGCGUUUCGGCGCGUAAAGCCCUAUCGGCAGGGAAGAAGGAGGACGGUACCUGACUAAGAAGCCCCGGCUAACUACGUGCCAGCAGCCGCGGUAAUACGUAGGGGGCAAGCGUUAUCCGGAUUUACUGGGUGUAAAGGGAGCGCAGGCGGCGCGUUAAGCCUGGUGUGAAAGCCCGCGGCCCAACCGCGGGACUGCAUUGGGAACUGGCGCGCUGGAGUGCCGGAGGGGUAGGCGGAAUUCCUAGUGUAGCGGUGAAAUGCGUAGAUAUUAGGAGGAACACCAGUGGCGAAGGCGGCCUGCUGGACUGCAACUGACGUUGAGGCUCGAAGGCGUGGGGAGCAAACAGGAUUAGAUACCCCUGUAGC